Molecule: ribosomal RNA, 252 nt
Filed under: uncultured prokaryote
Description: partial 16S rRNA
Rfam family: Archaeal small subunit ribosomal RNA
Source: RNAcentral
ACCGGCAGCUCAAGUGGUGGCCAUUAUUAUUGGGCCUAAAGCGUUCGUAGCCGGUUUGAUAAGUCUCUGGUGAAAUCCCGCAGCUUAACUGUGGGACUUGCUGGAGAUACUAUCAGACUUGAGGUCGGGAGAGGUUAGGGGUACUCCCAGGGUAGGGGUGAAAUCCUAUAAUCCUGGGAGGAACACCGGUGGCGAAGGCGGCCACCUGGACAGGUACUGACGCUGAGGCGCGAAAGCGUGGGGAGCAAACAG